GUAGUUUGAUCAUGGCUCAGGAUGAACGCUAGCGGCAGGCCUAAUACAUGCAAGUCGAACGCUCAGUAGCAAUACUGGGAGUGGCGCACGGGUGCGUAACGCGUACACAAUCUACCUCUAAGCGGGGGACACCUCCUGGAAACGGGGAUUAAUACCGCAUAAUAUGCCGAGGUCGCAUGACUUUGGUAUUAAAGCAGCAAUGCACUUAGAGAUGAGUGUGCGUCCCAUUAGGUAGUUGGUGAGGUAACGGCUCACCAAGCCUACGAUGGGUAGCCGGUCUGAGAGGAUGGUCGGCCACACGGGCACUGAGACACGGGCCCGACUCCUACGGGAGGCAGCAGUAAGGAAUAUUGGUCAAUGGUGGAAACACUGAACCAGCCAUGCCGCGUGGAGGAAUAAGGUCCUACGGAUUGUAAACUCCUUUUGACGAGGAAGAAAGUGUUAGAUUUAUCUAAUUUUGACGGUACUCGUAGAAUAAGCACCGGCUAACUCCGUG
RNAcentral lists this ribosomal RNA (496 nucleotides) under uncultured bacterium. RNAcentral's name for it is "bacterial SSU rRNA". It matches the Rfam family "Bacterial small subunit ribosomal RNA", at positions 9 to 507 of the family's 1533-position model. The record is from RNAcentral.